This 11480-nucleotide long non-coding RNA is filed under the name Equus caballus (horse). RNAcentral's name for it is "lncRNA (ENSECAG00000053429.1)". Lineage: Eukaryota; Metazoa; Chordata; Mammalia; Perissodactyla; Equidae. The record is from RNAcentral.
GGGGCAGUCUGCCCUGGGUCCCAACACUGCUUUUGAGUCAAGAUUGCAAGACUACUGUUAGUUAUGUCUGACCAGAUACUGAAAGUCAAAGGUCAGCAGAUGGAAGCAGAGCUGGUUGGGACAUGGAGAAUUGUCUCAGAGCACGUCUCGAUGAUACUUCAUCAAGAGUCUGCUGCUUCCAGGCUUGCUUUCUUCAGUCAGCUGAAUGCAGGGAACGAGGAAGCUCCAGGGCAGAGCUGCAAGAUGGAAGGAGCCAGGAUCCCUGAGUCGGCCUGCAACAGACCGCCUGCUGACCAGGAACACCUGCCGUGGAAGUUUACCAGAGCGAGAGAGAGACUUCUGUUGUGCUUUGGCCAGUUAAUGUAGACGUGUGAUGUGACAGAGUUGGGACGUUUUAUUAGGCUGCAGUACUUUCUUAGAGGUGUAAUCUGAAGGAGGCUACUACUCAUGUGAAAACUGGUGAAUGAGGAUUUGUGAUGCCAACUGUGAAGGUUGCCAGCAGUGGAGGAGAGACUGAUCUUCAGAGCACUCUCGUUUAAUAAUGAUCUUAGGGCUAAGAAUUGUUAGUUUUUAUUGAUUUCCUAGAAUUUACAUAAUUGAAAAAUUAGCAAAUGUAUGAGGUAUGUAUGAUGUGGCAUUUCCAAACUUAAGUCAUUUCCCUACUCCUUCAUUGUUUUUGCUGUGUUUUAUACCACAGCAUUUUAUCUCACUCUGUUUUUUGUUUGUUGUUCUGUUUGUUUGGUAACGUCUGUUGCCAAGCUUCCUUUUUUUGCUUGAGGAAGAUUCUCCCUGAGCUAACAUCUGUGCCAGUCUUCCUCUAUUUUGCAUGUGGGAUGCUGCCACAGCAUGGCCGAUGAGUGGUGUAGGUCUGCACCUGGGACCCGAACCCACCAACCUGGGCCACUGAAGUGGAGUGUGCCGAACUUAACCACUACACCACAGGGCCGGCCCCUUUCUCACUUUUUUCUUUUUAAACUUAGCAUUGUCAUAAGAAGUAAUACAUGUGGAGUCAUAGGUUGGUGUGUUAUUUUUUCCUAAUAUCUAUUUGAAUAAUACAUACUUAUUUAAAAAUCCCAACAUGUGGUAGAUAACUUUAUUUUAAACGCCACUAGUGAUAUUUCUAUCAUACCUGGGAAAUGCUGUUCACAUAAUGAAUAUUAUUUUUUAGGAUCUUCAGUGCUUAAUCCAUAAAAUUCUAAUAGAAAUAGAUGCAGUCACAGGAACUAGCGGACGUACUGUGUCUAACAGGGCUUUGGUUACAGCUUUUUCCUAUCACAGAUUAGUAUUCUGUUUGAUUAAUAUCUACAUUUGUUUGUGACUGAGGGACAACGAAAACAGUGUAUUUAAAUAAUUUUUGAACAGUGUUAAGCAGGAUGUGCUUCUAAAGUUAGUGAGGAAUGGGCCUAAGGAAGUGCUAAUGACCGUGACAUUAAGAUACAAAAAUCUUGGAAAAUACUGAUACUUGUGGUAGAGAAAGAAUUUGAUAAUCCCGUGAUCCGAGGGUGAAGAAGAUAAUGAGGCUUGACCGGCCCCGGGGAAGCGUUGUUAGAUUAGUGACUUAAAUUUCAGGUAUUGAGGAAAGAAUUCCAGUAGGGAAGUUUUUCGCAUUUUCCUCUUCUUCUCCUUUUAUUUGCCCAUAUCUUUUUGUUCACUUGAGAGUAUGUAAGAUGUUGUCCUGGGGACAUUUCCUAUCAGUGUCAGCAGGAAAGAGUACUUUGUUGGAGGGGUGCCCUGGCGAUCCUUGGUAGCUGAGGAAGUACCCACGUGCUGCUUCUCUCCCCUCUCAAAUGGUUUUAAAGUUCUAGAAUUUGCCUAAACCAUUGGAUUUAUAUAUAAUUUAAAUGUUAACUUCUUCCGUCAUUUUGGUAAGUUUGUCCCUUGGUGUAUAAAUUAAUACUUUAAAUUUGUUCUAAAACAUCUGUGUUUAAAGUUGAAAAGCAAGUUGCUUAUUUCAGGUGUUCCAGAACUUUGUAGAUGAGUCUUAUACACUAUAGACAGUGAGCACAUUGAAACUUAGUCUUUUUGGUUUUCCUUUUGAAGAGUCUAACUUCAUAUAUAGUCCUGUUUUCGCUCCUGACUUCCUUUACCCAUUUUUUAUGAUUUGAAUCAUUAACACCCUAUACCAGCAGGCAGGAUAGUAAAAGCAGGCAAGGUAAAUAAAGGAAAAGUGAUAGAACUUCAGAUGAGUUAAUUUUGUAAUUUGUGUUAGAUCAGUUAAAACAGGAGUAUGUUAAAAUAGUCAAAGAACAAUCGUUUAAACUUUGGAGAUUUUUUGCCCUUUUCUCACUUAGAACAAUUAAUUGACAGUGAGAUGUGAGAGACACUGACAGAGCUUUAGUGAAAAGCAGCAAAAUGGAAUUCAGAAGGAGAAUUUAGAGGGAAAACUUGAAAAUGGAAAUGCAGUUUUGCUAGGUGAAAACUAAGGAAAAGGGGAUCAGGAAAGUUACAGAAAAAUGAUAGCAUUCUCGAAUGAAUGGCAUAACGUUUAUAGAGAGAACCUGCUGAGAUGGUGAAAGAGUCUAGAGAUGUGUGUGAUUGCAAACCUCCCCCCUUUUUGAGCGAAUAGACCGUUCAAACUAAAUUAAGAAAAGGAUAUAAAGUCUGUUGUUUGUUUUAAUAUUUCAUGACUGAUUUUAUAGAUGAAAUUAUAUUUUACAAUAAAUAGGAAGAAGAAUUUAUGUAGCCUGUUCUAUUUGAUGUGAAACAGCAAAUCCCGUCUCUCUGUAGCUGUGAAGAAAAUUCGUUAUAAUGUCUUUAGUUGUAAGAGAUGGUUUCAUUGUGAUUAGUUACAUUGAUGAUAAAACAACCUUUUCAAAUGGCAUACGACACGAAUGAUCGUGUGUGUCUGCUUUUAAUGGCAUUGAAAUUUUUCAUUUUCUGUUUUACUCAUAGAAUUUUCCUUUUUUUAUGCUGUUUUCCUGUUCCAAUAAGAAUUUUCUUCCUUUUGAGAAAAAUCAAAACAAUUAGAUGGAAAUAUUAACAAAGCAUUAAUUUUAAAAAUACAUUUUGAAAGGAGAUAUAUUGGAUUUUAACUUUUUGUGUAAAAUCUUUCCUACUACACAAGAUAGCUUUGUCAGAGGUGGUUAAGAUCGCCAUAAAAUUGACUUUAUUACUGGAUCAAUUUAAUGUAUUUGGAAAAUAGUACUUGAAGUGUAGGAACAUUUUAAUAAAAGAAACAGCCAAGUAAGAAAACUGGGCUAAUGUUACAGUUUAUUUUUGUCCCAUGACUUGUCACGUUAUGUUGCUGUUACUACAUCCUCACGAGUAGUGUUGGGAAGGGGAGACUCUUUGAUAAUGAAAGGGGUGAGGUCUGUUUAUUCUGUUACAGUCACCAUGGCUUGAUCCCUAUUAGUAUGGCUUUUUAAUGAUUGUUUUAGCUCUAACUUAAGCACUAAGCAAAUAUUCUAAUUUUUAACUUGCAGGCAGAAUCAAAUUAGGUAUUUGAAACAGAACAUGGGUAUCCCCUGGAAUAGGAACAGUAUUCUCUUCUGACUUGAGUGCGAAUUUUUUUCUCUCUGUCGAUAGUUUUAUUUACUCUGACCAUUUGGGCUUAAGAGCACAUAGUUCUAGCUUGUCUUGGGUUUGUCCUUGGACUCUGGCUGGGGAAGGUUAUUUUUAGAAGUAGGCUAGACAUGGCAUGUGAGAUGCUUUGGAGGUGGAACUUAAUCAGAUGUGAGUCCUGUGACCAGAGCCCCUACAUCUCCGAAGUUUGAAUGCCUCCUGCUAGGAGGAGACUGUGCUGUAGGAUCUCCACAACUUCUGGAGUUCGUCCUUUUUUGACCUCCUCAAAGGGAAAGGGCAAAAGAGCAUUGGGAGCUUUUAUAAAUGCACGUGUGUGCACGCCAGCCAUGCUGCACACUAUCCCCUGUUGUGACUUUACCAUGGGCCUGGUGCCAACACGUGCUAACUGCACACUGCUUGCACCACUAAUUUGGGACACAGAUGGCCCAGACGUGUUUGUGGCUCAGUGAAGGUGAGGGAGCUGCUGAGCUGCCAGUCCACAAAGAUUGAUGAAAUCUGAGAACUUCAGAGGAAAGAGCUGGCGUGGCACCAAGGCCAUUAGCAUAUGGAAUCCUUAUCAAGUGUAUCUCGGCUUACUUGCACAUUGAAUUUUCAGUUAGACUUCUUUUAGUUUACUUAAUUACCUGCUUAUAACAAUUCAAAUAAAUCCUGAGAAGUUAUGUUUUGUGUAGCUAGGGAGCUGACUUCAUGUAGAUUAACACUGGAGUCCAAAAUCGGAGAGAAGGGAAGAGUCUCACGUAUAAACUUCACAUUGUGUCUUUGUACUCAGUUCACUUUGGGUUCUGUCUAAUGGAAUGCAGUGCCUUAAAACGUUACAUGGUUGUGUUUUCAACUAGUUUUAUCUUCUGUAGUAUAUUUAUUUUCUAGAAGGAUAUAUUUUAAAUGUUUUGGCACCGAUAAAAUGUAGAGAAAUGUAAAUAUAAUGGCAAUUAGACAGUUUCAUUUUUAAGAUUAGUAAUUUCUCUUUCAGUGAAGAGAAGGUGAGUCAGGUAUGGUAAUUUUUCUAUUUAAAAUGGGGUACUAGCAUUAUAGCAUAUGCAUAUAUAUUUUUCUUUAAAAUCAAUGAGUAUUCAGUAUUGGUACUAAAUUUAAACCUGGUUGUUCUUUAACAUUUUCUAAAAUUGAUCUUCCCUUAAUGGGCUUUCCGUAGAUAGGACAUAAGUUGAGCCUCAUGUUCAGUGAUUUCUCUCCUAUUUCGGAGCCCAGUUAAUCUUCACUAUGGCCAUCACUCCGUCACUUAAUCCACUUCAUGUACUUACACUCUCAGCGACCCUUCUAGAUUCAGUGUUCAAAGCCUAAAGUUCAGCCAAGUUCCCUCAUUAGAAUUCCCGCCUUUGGUUAGUCUCGUCAUAGAAUUUUGAGAGAAAAGACCCGAAGCUCACUCUUCUACAUGAACCUCAUAAGAGUUAGCAUUUCCUAGCUUAGAAUGGAACCAGGGACACGGUAUGAAUGUCAGAGCCUUAGGACUUCUCCCCUCCUCACGCCUGAAUUGUUGUAAGUCAUUCUAGUUCUUCCACGUGGGAUGCUGCCACAGAAUGGCUUGAUGAGCAGCGUGCAGGUCUGUGCCCAGGAUCGGAACCGGUGAACCCUGAGUCACCGGAGCGGAGCACGUGAACUUAACCAAUCGGCCAUGGGGCUGGCCAGCUAAUUUUGUAUGUAAACUUAAUUCUCGGUCAAGAUGUCCUGGAUGCUCUUGGUAUUUUUAAUCUCACAUUGUUCAUUUUCACUCUUAACUUCAGUCUACAGAAUAUGUCAAAAUGGGGGCCCACAGAGAAGCUUUCUACACUGAAGUUUUUUUUCUUGGACUGAUUCUUCAGGCCUAGAAGCUCUCUUUAUUGGGCAAGUGACAGGGUAGCAAGUUCCUCCCCGGCUCUCAGUAUCAAGAAGGGUUUGAUUAUAAAAGAGAGCUUCUCUAAACCUGUUCAGGAAAAUAAAAUAGUAAAAUAUAAGUCUAUCAUUUUCAUAGGACUACCUCAUUGCCAGAAAGAGUCCUACAAUCUUUUCCGUGUUGUCAUGUACCUCUACUUAAAGGGCAUAAAAAGAAUAUCAGGAAUCACUUUGAAGAAUUAAUCUAGCCCAACACACCCUUAUAAAGAAGAUUUAAUAGUUUAUUUAAUAGUUUAUUUGACCACCUACUCAAAAUUUGUUUAUCUUCAGUUUUCCUCUAAUUCUGCAAUUUUGUUACAGUUUUACCUAAGUUUCAAACAGAUAAUCACAAUUUAAAUUAAAAACAAACACUUCACAAUAUAGGAAAAGCCUGACUGAAAGAUAAAUUGUACAUCUCAAGUUAGCACAACAAAAUGUGUUUGAUAAACUGCCAAAUAAAUCUUUGAGUUGCCUCCCCGACCCUUGAACUGAUUUUUUCUCUUAAGGGCAUAAUUAAGCUUUCAUUCAGAAUGCCGUAUACCUCACAUUGCGAUUAUUGCUCUUAUCAAAAUCAACCAGUUGUUCUCCUCAACUUGCCCUGAAAUUUUAACUCCUCCGGAAAGCUCUCAGUUGCACACUCUCUACAAACAUUCCACCCAUCUCUGGUAUCCAAUGCCCACAGCAACUCAAGGAGGCGUUUGCAAUUUUAAUACGUUCCAGAAACAGGAGUUGAAAAAUGACGAAUUCACGAUGAUGAGAGGAAAUUCUGGAGGUUUUUAAAAAAGAAAAGAUUCUAUCAUAUUACUGGACUGUAAGAAAUAUCACUAGCAAUCUUUUUUCAUACAAUCCUAGAGUUCAUUAACAUUAAACCUUUGAUCAUGUAAGUAGAGUUGCAUGACCCCAUUUCAUUACUGUUAUUAAAAAUAAUGGUACCUGCCCUGUAUCUCCCAAUCCAUGAAGGAAAAUCACCUACAAGAGAAAAAAUUAAUAAACAAUGCCCAAAUAAACCCACACAGAAUUGAUACACACUAGCGUUGGUCAAUUCUGGAUGCCAGAAUUUCAGAACACUACCUUCAGCAAAUCAAACUCCAUAGAGCUCUCUUCAGUGGGAAAAAUACUUAAUUUCUCUCACUGUAGUUCCGAAGAUAAUUAAUGUGCGGCCUUAGCACUUAAAGAGGUCCCAGUUAGACAUUCUUAAGUGCAAAUAACAUUCUAGGAAAAAUAGUUUGUUUCAAGUCAAACCAUGCAAGUCUCAUGUAAACUGUAGACUUUUUCCAUCACAAAAAGGAGCUUCCGGGGUUAAAAAGACAUUUGAGCUCCUCGUACACGGUUUUCUAAAAAACAGCACCCUGUGAUGUCAUAAGUUGCCAAUCUUCAAACUUCUUUAAUUCAGGACACGAGUGCAAGGUAAGAAAAUAAAGUCAUUUUCUUGAGGACUUCAGACUUCCCUCACCCACAAACAAGAGAGAAACGAGCAACGGAGCCACCUCGAGUUAGGGUGCCUGGCCGCUAACGCCGGUCCCUACAAGCUGGGGACUCGCUCCGCAAUGCAGAGGGCUCGGGGCUGACGGGGGCGGGCGCGCUGAUCCUCCGGCCCGGCCGCAGCCCCGGCGCCCUCCCGACACCGACCACCCCACCCCACCCCACCCACCCAGCCCACCCCGGACCCGGCGGAGGGAACCCACCCACCGGCCGCCAGGCGGUCAGCGACGCCAACCCUGCGCGAAGGGCAGUGGUGAGCAGCGGGCCGAGGGUCCCCUCCGAGCCCCGGCUGCCGCCACUCACCGCAGCAGUGGCCUUCCGGGCGGCGGGGAUGAUGGCGGGAAGCGGGGCAGACAUGUUAUUACCGCACAUACACCGGCUCGACCGACAACGCGCGUCGCAGGCGGAAGGGAGAGAGGGCUCCCGGCCCGCCCCACCGGGCGCGCGCUCAGGUGUCGGCGGCCCGGCGGCGCUCUUUCCUGCCGGGCGUCCGGGACACCCUGGGGGAGACGCUCUCAGCCCCAGCGGGACUGCGUGGUCCCUGGAGCCUGGGCUUGCCUUCCGCUCCUGGGGCGCUGUAGUGAAAAGAAUGAGCCCCAAAGCCAGUCAUCCGCAACCCCACAUACUCCUUCGUUUCCUGAAGCUGGGGUGGACUCGUUUGCGCUGGGAGAGGUCGCUCGAGCUUUCGCUGUAUUUCCGUUUGGGGCUACACCAGUGUGCAGUUUUGGAGUCGACUCCCCUCCUCCUUUAAACUUCAGCUGAAAGAGAAAACAUUCAGUUGUCACCGAGAAUGCACAACUUAUUGAUCGAUGGAUAGUGACAUAGUACUGAUUUAAGCAUGAGACUAGACGGUCCCUUUUCUGCACAGGUGGGUCAAUGCAUAUUAAAUACAUGGUAUGAUCUGGGAAAGCGCAAGAGAUAGAAACCCCGUAGAACCAAAAUGGCCAGACCUUCUGAAGUUUAUCGUUCAAUGGAGAAAGUUAAAUGAUAUACACAGUCCUUAGGGAGUACAGUGUAAGAUAGGGAAAGAAGCUGGUGAACAAAAGGCUUUAAAACACACACACACACACACACACACACACUCACUCACACUCACUCCACUUUAAUUCAUAGGAUAACCAGAAUGCAGUCGUACUGUUUUUUAUCUUUCUUGUCUUGGAUUUGAGUGCUGAGAAUUUGGGGGGCUCUCCGAAAUGUUAAAUUGAUGCUGAUUUAUUGAAAAUGAUAAUGUGACAUUUCACUUAUGAGUCUACAAUUAUGUCAGGCUUUUAAGUACUUGGUUGUGAUUUAAGUAUUUGGUUGUGAUGUUAAUAGAGACUAAAACUAUCUUUAGCUGUUAUGUCAACCUAAAUGAAGCUGUCUGGGGGGCAAGCUCAAAAAAUGAGUUUAUUUGGGAAUAGCCGAGGAAUUGCAAUUCUGGACGUGCAAACUAUGGUGAACCAUAGGCAAGUUGGAAGAGACAAGGGGAAAGUUAGUUUUUAUUAGGUGUUAGGAGGAAAUUAAGGAGGGUUAUUUAGAAUAAAAGUUCAUUGGAGAAGAACAAGAGUGUAAGGUUGUGACAAUGCGUUGUCGCUGCGGCAGGGACGGAUCUUCCUUCCUUUUCUUAAAAGCAGGAGAUGAAAUUCCUAGGUGAAGAUGUCCUCCGUUGCACCAGCAGAAAAGUUACAUUCUUAUCAUCACGGAUAAGAAGUUGGGACUGAGAGAAUUUUAUACAAAUAGGCCUGGUUAAAAUAAUUCUUAUCGUCCAUCUUCCUGCCAGUUAGGCAGGCAGCAGUGAGUGGUAUGUACGUGAGAGGUCCCCCUUCAGGGUUUCAUGACUCCAUUUUAAAAGAGGUUUUCCUUUAUUUUCACACUUACUAUGAACAAAACAUGUUCCAAGACACUACUAGUCUGAGUUUUUCUGUGAUGUAAUAUGUAGAGUUCCAGGUGCCACCAGCGGUUCUAUCAACUGACUUCCGUUAGUUGGGAGUAGGACAGCUCAAUUUUAUCUAGAGACAUGCACAGCAUAACAGCGUUUGGGUCAAGGACGGAGGGCAUAUAGGAGGGUGGUCCCGUAAGAUUAGUACCAUAUAGCCUAGGUGUGUAGUAGUCUAUACCAUCUAGGUUUGUGUGAGUACACUCUAUGAUGAAUUGUGUAAGUACGCUCAAUGAUGAAACUGCCUAACACAUUUCUCAGAAUGUAUCCCCAUCAUUGAGCAAUGCGUGGCUAUAUUUCUGUCAUCCUCCCCUCUUAGCCAGUCCAAUUGCUGCUAUUCCUGCAAGAUUCACCGAAGUCUUACAUCCUCUAAGGAACCUUAGUGUUCUAAUUAAUCUCUUUGUCCCCCAGAUAAGAGAAAGAAAGAAAUAUAGUAAUAGAAAAAAGACAAAAUUAGCAUUAUUUUCAGAGGAUGAUGAUGCUAAGGUGUUUAAAGCAAAAGCCAACUGAGUAAAUUUGAAGAUCGAAUUGGCUCUAUCCAACAAUUCAUGAAUUGAGCAGCAUCCCAGCUAGCAAAUAGAAGGGAGGUCCAAGGAGCUAUGCAAAGUGGAAGGCUGUUAUGGGCAGAAGGGACGGAAUAAAGGAAGUUUCUAGCAAAGAGCAGAUUCGGGCAAGAUCACCUUCCUUUGGGGAAGAGUAGUGUGGGGAUCUAUGAGGCAGAUUACUCACUCAUGCCGACCAGGUAAUUCCAGAUUGACUAGUUAAAGGUCACAUUCCUGUGAGAGACUGAAAGUGCAAUUAAGUCUUGAUUUAUUGAUGUGGGACUUAGCACAAGUGACACCAUUUUGUUCCUGUUUUUUCUUUUUUAACAGUUCUCCCCCUUUGCAUGAGACUCUUAGCAUAACUUGAAAGAUGUGAUCAAAAUUUAAGGCAUUAGUGCCACUCUCAGCUACCGCUCUGUUGGUCUCGCAGCUUUUACUGUUUCUCCGUGUUAUAGUCACAGGUCAUGAGGUUUUCUGCUGAAUCCUGUGGUAUUCACAGGUCACGACUUCACAUUCAUUUGCUUGAUGGUUAGCAGCUGCAAACACGCAUUUAAAGCUUUUGAGAGAAUACAGUGCAUCAGGGAGAUUACUAUGACUGUUACUGGUAGGAUAAUUCCCAUGUCUGGAGUGCACUUCAGAGCCAUGGUCCCCAAGACCCAAACCAAUCAAAAUCCAAUAAGUGAAAGAAAUACUCUGUUGAAGGAGUCACCUUUUUAAGCCAAGUGGCGCACUCAGUGAUUUUAUGUAACUAAAUUUCAGCUUCCCCAGAAGUGUUAAUCCAGGUGCAGCGGUGGUGGCCACAGCACAGACACAUCCUUGCUCAGCUAACAAAUGAUCAAGGGCUGUCAUAUUAUCAAGAACUACUUUGAGCUGAGAGUCUAGAGAUUUUCAUUGGGCAGCUAUUGCUUUAGCAGCGAAUUCUGCAAUACUUUCAAGAGUUAAGGAGGGAUUUCUGAUCACAGCCUCAUUUGUACUCACUCCUAACAAAGGAAGUAGGGACCUGCCGAAAGAAGCACAUCCUGAAUCAUGAAGGCCUCCUGGCAGGUCUUUUCGAAUUGGAUGAUUAGGGGAGUUGACCAAUGAAGUGUCUUAGCCUAUUUGAGAACAGUUGAGUGGCACAGUUAGAUAACCUAAGGGGCAUUGCCCAGUUAUGUGUUAGCCAUCUAAGCAUUUAUAGGUCCAAGGAGAAUGAUCACCACCACCGAUGAAAUUAAAUCCUGUUGGGGCGUAAACCAUUACUGCUCAGGUGGCAUUGUUCAUGGGUUCCAGCAUCAUGAACAGAUUGGAGUUUUUGAUGAUGAAUCCAGCUGUCUGAAAGGUUGCUCUCCCUUAGUAAUGGCUUGGGAGAUAUGAUGGUGGCAUUAUCUUGCCAGGCCAAUGCCAGAGUAAAGGAAAGAAGAGAGGAAGACAGUGUUUCAUGUUUAGUUAAAAUGGGAAAUCUUGAUCUGGUGUCUUGGGUGGAAGCAGUCUACGUCAAUGUCAGCUGCUUCUCCUGCUCAUCAGUUUGAUUCAGAGGUCUUCAGUGUUUGUAAAGGACCAGAGGUCAGGAGGAGCUUUCUUCCACUGUGAGAUGUGUAGCCAAGGUUUAAGUCCUGGAGGUUUGGCUGCCAUCUGGGUCGGGAGGAAGACCUAGUAUAUUCCUUUCCAAGGAGAUUCAAGGACAGUCUUUGGUCUCAGUGAUUCCAAAUCAGAAGGAUGGGAGGCAAUAGGAAACAUUCGGUUGGAGAGUGGUAGCCAGAUAUUUGAGAAAAUUAGAAGAAUUUAGGAUCCAGUUCAGUUUACAGGUAUAUAACAAAACCUCAAAGACAAUUAACAGGGUUAGAAUCUAAAUAUCUACAAAGGUGCAAACAUAAUUUUUCUCUCUACAAUUACCCCAUUUUUUACCAAAGAUAAUCAGAGUAAAACUAAUUUGUUUGUAUUAAACUUGGCCUGAUUAUUUACAUGAGUGUAGCAAGAAUGGUGAUUGACCACAUAAGCUCUUUUAAGACUGCUUUGCUGGAACUUUUUAUAAGGAAUCUCAGAUUUGACUCUUUCAAAGCCUCUGAGGCCAGGAAGCCGAGCCAAGUUUCAGGCAGUUCCUUACAGCUGUCUGGUCAUGUCUGAAUCUAUGCAUCUCUCUCUCAACUAUGACAUUCCAGUCAAAGCCUUGGUAA